UUUAUUGAGAGUUUGAUCCUGGCUCAGGACGAACGCUGGCGGCGUGCCUAACACAUGCAAGUCGAACGAAGCUCGAAGCUCUGAGAUUUCGGUCAAGGAGCGGAGAUGACUUAGUGGCGAACGGGUGAGUAAUGCGUGAGCAACCUGCCUUUCAGAGGGGGACAACAGCUGGAAACGGCUGCUAAUACCGCAUAAUACAUUUGGGUGGCAUCAUCUGAAUGUCAAAGGAGCAAUCCGCUGGAAGAUGGGCUCACGUCUGAUUAGCUAGAUGGCGGGGUAACGGCCCACCAUGGCGACGAUCAGUAGCCAGUCUGAGAGGAUGAACGGCCACAUUGGGACUGAGAU
This 345-nucleotide ribosomal RNA is filed under the name Candidatus Scatomorpha pullistercoris. RNAcentral's name for it is "bacterial SSU rRNA". It matches the Rfam family "Bacterial small subunit ribosomal RNA", at positions 1 to 325 of the family's 1533-position model. The record is from RNAcentral. Lineage: Bacteria; Bacillati; Bacillota; Clostridia; Eubacteriales.